AUGUGGAAGGUUCUUGCAGCAACGGCGCUGCCGAUCCUGAUCGCGCUGCUCGCCGUUCGCGCGCGCGGCGCCGACGACUACACGGCGUUCGUGUACGCCGGGUGCUCGCAGGCGCGCUACGACGCCGGCACCCAGUACGCCGCGGACGUCGACACCGUGCUCUCGACCCUCACCGACACCGCGGCCUCCACCCCCUACGCCAACUACACCCCGCCGUCCGGCGCCACCACGGGCCUGGUCGGGCUCUACCAGUGCCGCUCCGACCUCCCCGCCGCCGUCUGCGGCGUCUGCGUCAAGGCGUCCGCCUCCAAGCUCGCCUCCCUCUGCAACUCGGCCGCCGGCGGCGCGGUGCAGCUGCGCGCGUGCUUCGUCCGCUACGGCAACGACUCGUUCCUCGGGAAGCCGGACAACACGGUGCUGUUCAAGAAGUGCGGCGGCGAGAGCGGGGACGCCGGCGUCGCGCCGCUGCGCGACGCGGCGCUCGGCGCGCUCCAGGCCGCGUCGUCCCCCGCGGCCGACGGCUCGUACCGCGCCGGCGCGGCCGGGUACGUGCAGGCCAUGUCGCAGUGCGUGGGGGACCUCGGCGCCAAGGCCUGCACCGACUGCGUCUCCGUCGCCGCCUCGCAGCUCAAGGCCGGCUGCGGCGACGCCUCCGCCGGGGAGGUCUACCUCGGCAAGUGCUACGCGCGCUUCUGGUCCAAUGCCGGCGCCGGCGCCGGCGGGGCCACCCCCGGUGGAGGCAACGUCAUCGGCGGCGGCAACGCCGGCCCCAUCGGUGACGGCGGCAAUGGCAUCGCUGGAGGAGGCAAUGGCAUCGCCGGCGGCGGCACCGUCGGCGUUCCGGGCGCAGGCAGCGGAUACGGAUACGGGUUCGUGCCGCGCCCGUACGGCGACGUCCAAGAUGGUUCCGGGAAGACCCUCGCCAUCAUCAUCGGCAUCGUGGCGGCGGCGGCCAUCAUCAUCAUCUUCCUCUCCUUCAUCCGAAGAGCCCGCGCCGCCAACGGCAAAAGCUAA
RNAcentral lists this ribosomal RNA (1014 nucleotides) under Triticum aestivum (bread wheat). Its description in RNAcentral is "partial small subunit ribosomal RNA". The record is from RNAcentral. Lineage: Eukaryota; Viridiplantae; Streptophyta; Magnoliopsida; Poales; Poaceae.